Molecule: ribosomal RNA, 474 nt
Filed under: uncultured bacterium
Lineage: Bacteria
Description: bacterial SSU rRNA
Rfam family: Bacterial small subunit ribosomal RNA
Source: RNAcentral
ACUCCUACGGGAGGCAGCAGUGGGGAAUAUUGCACAAUGGGGGAAACCCUGAUGCAGCCAUGCCGCGUGUGUGAAGAAGGCCUUCGGGUUGUAAAGCACUUUCAGUAGGGAGGAAGGUAGUGUAGUUAACAUACCUUGCAUUAUUUGACGUUUACCUACAGAAGAGCACCGGCUAACUCCGGUGCCAGCAGCCGCGGUAAUACGGAGGGUGCGAGCGUUAAUCGGAAUUACUGGGCGUAAAGCGCAUGCAGGCGGCCUGUUAAGUCAGAUGUGAAAGCCCGGGGCUUAACCUCGGAAUUGCAUUUGAAACUGGCAGGCUAGAGUCUUGUAGAGGGGGGUAGAAUUUCAGGUGUAGCGGUGAAAUGCGUAGAGAUCUGAAGGAAUACCAGUGGCGAAGGCCGGCCCCCUGGACAAAGACUGACGCUCAGAUGCGAAAGCGUGGGGAGCAAACAGGAUUAGAUACCCUGGUAGGAU